GAGUUUGAUCAUGGCUCAGGACGAACGCUGGCGGCGUGCCUAAUACAUGCAAGUCGAGCGGAUCUUCAUUAGCUUGCUUUUGAAGAUCAGCGGCGGACGGGUGAGUAACACGUGGGCAACCUGCCUGUAAGACUGGGAUAAACUUCGGGAAACCGGAGCUAAUACCGGAUGAUCCUUUUCCUCUCAUGAGGAAAAGCUGAAAGACGGUUUCGGCUGUCACUUACAGAUGGGCCCGCGGCGCAUUAGCUAGUUGGUGAGGUAACGGCUCACCAAGGCGACGAUGCGUAGCCGACCUGAGAGGUGAUCGGCCACGACUGGGACUGAGACACGGCCCAGACUCCUACGGGAGGCAGCAGUAGGGAAUCUUCCGCAAUGGACGAAAGUCUGACGGAGCAACGCCGCGUGAGCGAUGAAGGCC
This 418-nucleotide ribosomal RNA is filed under the name uncultured microorganism. RNAcentral's name for it is "bacterial SSU rRNA". It matches the Rfam family "Bacterial small subunit ribosomal RNA", at positions 9 to 416 of the family's 1533-position model. The record is from RNAcentral.